AGUGAACGCUGGCGGUAGGCCUAACACAUGCAAGUCGAACGGCAGCACAGUAAGAGCUUGCUCUUACGGGUGGCGAGUGGCGGACGGGUGAGGAAUACAUCGGAAUCUACUUUUUCGUGGGGGAUAACGUAGGGAAACUUACGCUAAUACCGCAUACGACCUCCGGGUGAAAGCAGGGGAUCUUCGGACCUUGCGCGAUUGAAUGAGCCGAUGUCGGAUUAGCUAGUUGGCGGGGUAAAGGCCCACCAAGGCGACGAUCCGUAGCUGGUCUGAGAGGAUGAUCAGCCACACUGGAACUGAGACACGGUCCAGACUCCUACGGGAGGCAGCAGUGGGGAAUAUUGGACAAUGGGCGCAAGCCUGAUCCAGCCAUACCGCGUGGGUGAAGAAGGCCUUCGGGUUGUAAAGCCCUUCUGUUGGGAAAGAAAAGCAGCAGGUUAAUACCCCGCUGUUCUGACGGUACCCAAAGAAUAAGCACCGGCUAACUUCGUG
Molecule: ribosomal RNA, 492 nt
Filed under: uncultured bacterium
Lineage: Bacteria
Description: partial 16S ribosomal RNA
Rfam family: Bacterial small subunit ribosomal RNA
Source: RNAcentral